Molecule: non-coding RNA, 24 nt
Filed under: Rattus norvegicus (Norway rat)
Lineage: Eukaryota; Metazoa; Chordata; Mammalia; Rodentia; Muridae
Source: RNAcentral
AUCAUAUGUAGUGCCUCCCCCUCC